UCCCAGGUGACACCCUGACUCA
This 22-nucleotide microRNA is filed under the name Mus musculus (house mouse). RNAcentral describes it as "mmu-miR-3090-3p". The record is from miRBase by way of RNAcentral. Lineage: Eukaryota; Metazoa; Chordata; Mammalia; Rodentia; Muridae.